Phalacrocorax carbo (great cormorant) is the source of this 5367-nucleotide non-coding RNA. NCBI's taxonomy places the organism in Eukaryota, Metazoa, Chordata, Aves, Suliformes, Phalacrocoracidae. The record is from RefSeq and is a predicted model, not a curated record.
CACCCCGCGCCAAUAAUGGGACGUUCCACACAAGAUAGGCGGUGCAGCCCUAAGCGCCAGCCCGGCGAGGCUCCAGGAGGGCGCUGUUCGCUGUUAGCUAGGGGAAGGCGCGGGCUGGGCGCGUCCCGCCGCGCUGCCGGGGGCGGAGGGAGCGCAGGGAAGGCUAGGUUUUCCCGGCGGCCUCAGCCGGGAGACCGGCACCUCCUCGCGUGCCGCUUGGGGUGGGCGUGCAGUGGCUGCCCGCCCGUGCCUGCGGACGGAAGUCACGUGGGCGCCGCUGACCGACUGCGCGCGGGGGGGGGGGGCGGGGCUAGGCUGGCCGUUGGAGGCUGUUGUGGCGGGGCAUGCUUCUGGGUGGUCCCGGUGUCCGGCCGUCCCUCUCUGGAGCGGGGGGAAGGCGGCUGCUGGUGGCUGCCGCUCGCCCGGGGCUUCAGGAGGGAGGGAGGUGCCGCUCGCUGCCGGCCGGUUGGUUCGGGCGCUGCUGACAGCGCGGCGGGCGAAUGCGGGGAAAAGUUCCUCGGCUUGUUCCUGUCGGUCAUAAGAAAAACUCCGUCUCGCCCGCGCACCUAGUUGAUUUGUACGUGUCGCGCUGAGAAAGCAAUACUCGGGUGGUCGGGCUGAGAAAGCCACUGGUGGUGGUUAGGCUUUACAGGGGCCUCUCUUCCCUGGUUCCCUCCCUUCUGGGAACAAACUGGGGGCGAGGAACAGGGGAAGAGCCUUAAUGAAAAACUUUUUAACCGUAAAUCUCUACCUGAGCCUGUUUAUAUUUUCUAAGGUGCCAUCUGGAACAGGCUCCCCAGGGAGGCAGUGAACGGCACCAAGCCUGACGCUAUUCAAGAAGCACCUGGACAACACUCUCAGAGAAAUGGCGUAAAUUUGGGGUUGUCCUGUACAGGGACAGGAGUUGGACUUGAUAAUCCUUGUGGAUCCCUUCCAACUCAGGACUUUCUAUGACUCUGUGGUCUGCGUUGAUGUUAUGUUUGGCAUGCAAGUUAAAGCUGGUUCCUAUGACUUAAACCACUAAAUUAGAUAGGUCUUGCAAUUUGGCCAGUGUUACCUAACAGACAGCAAAGCAGCUCUCCACAAAAAAUCCGUAGUUGCAAAAAGAUUGAAGUCAAAAAGUUUUCUGAACUAGCCAGGUUUUAUUUUAAGAAGAUGAAAAUGAAGACACAAAAGAACACAUUGUUCAGAAGGGAAGUGGAGAAGGGUGACAACAGAGUAGUUUGACAGAAAGGAAGGAGAAAUGUGUGAGAUGGGAGUAACUGAGUAGCUAGCAUUGCUGCUGACUGGAUGGAAAGAGGACUGUGGUUCACCUCCCAGAAACAAGAUGACAGUAAGCACAGCUCACUUGCAAGAAGACAGUGGGAACAUGCAUGUAUUUUUUCAUGGACAUUUAAGAUUAAAUUUUGUUGCUCAGCUGCCUUUGGGGGCUGUUUGUCUCUCAGGUGUCAACUGUUUCCACUCUUCUCCCCAAUGAAAAAGCUCCUCUCAUCCAUGCUGUAAGUUUACUUAAGUUUAAGCCAUUCUCAUAAUCUAUGGAAGCCUGGCUGCACAGCUUUGAUGGUAUGGCACAUUGUUUUGCUUUGUUCUGGGUCUGGCAGGGUGGUAAAACCAAACCGAGAUACUGGAACAGGAAGGAGAGGUAGCAAAGAAAGAAUCAAAGAGCCAAAUCUUAGGUUUUGUUGAAAUUACAAAUAAGGUGGCAAACCAAGGAACAGGAGAAAGAUGGAUAAAAGUUGAAAAUUGCUGCUUGAGAGUCCUGUUGAUUACCAUAUAAAAACUUAGUUUUCUUGUAAAACAAUUCCUUUCCAAUGGCUAAUGGUGGCUUAAUCUCUAACAAAAUGCUAAAUUAAUUCCUUAUUGUAUGUAUCUGCUAGUUGAAAUGUUUCUGCAGGCAAAAGUAUGCCUUUGCUGUUGUUUGAUCCCACCCAAAAUCUUUGAUGAGCUCUUUUAGAGCUGUAUUGCACUGCAAAAUACUUAUUUCCAUUGCAGAUGCAAAAUAAUUUAGCUCCCUGUUCUCCUCAGCUCUGUUAGUUUUGCAAGGUUAGUAGAAAUUUUAAUAAGUAGUAGUGCCUUUAUUUUUUAACCAAGUCAGCAAAUCUUAUCCUGGCUAUCUACAGGGAGUAGAUCUGAUGAGUAAGAAGCUGCUUUUUUUAUAUAGUUACUUUUCAGAGGUUCACAGUCUGAAAAUGGUUGUGACAUAACUGGGUCACAUCUGAAAUUUUUCUAUAAGCUGCAUAAAAUGGGAAGUUGAGGUAGCUGCUUUUGUCAGAAGGUAUAUUCUUAGAGCUGCAGUGAAUCAUGUAGCUGAGAGAUUUGCUUAUUGUACUGUUACGGAAAACUGCAAACCCAUCAUGAAUCUGUAACCGAUUAGUAGUCCUGCAGUCUCUUAAAUCUGUUGCUUUUUAAUAAUAGCAAAGUAAGAAUUACAAUAUAUAUGCAUGUGCAUCACAUAUUGUGUUUCUUCUGUCGUUGCCUUCAUUUUACAUGUUUAAUUGUGGGCAUGCUGUAUUAUGAAGAGUGUGGUGUCCCAGGGUUUGCCUGUUAUGAGCAUUGGAGGGGAGGAAAGUAGUAAGACAAGUAAGAAUGGUAAACCUAUUUCAGCUGCCGGUAGCCCAAGUAUGUAACAAAUAAUUUUCAGAUUUUGAUGCAUGGUCUAACUUUUGGUUGGAAACAAGAAUGGAAUGACUCAGAGAUCAUGCAGAUUGCUGUCUGGACUGGGAAAUUAUCAUAAAACAAGAUUAAGAAGCUUACGCAGUUUACUUCAGGUAAGAAUCCUUAUGCUGUUUUUAUAUCAGUGGACAGGCCGGCUGAUUCUUGCUGCCAAAUCUCCUAUCCCAAACAGCGGAAAAAAAAAUUAUAAUUCGGGAUAUAAGAUAGAUUGGGUGAGAGUAUCUGAAGUCUAGGCUUCUGCUUUGGUUCAAAUAUUUGAGCUUUUCUUAUAGAUGUUCUGAUUUAUCUUAAAGGUUAUUGAGUAUUUUUUAGGAGUUGGGCAGUUAGUCAUAGGUGACCUAGAAGGUUAAUCCAAAGGCUACUUAGAGUCUGCAAAACCUAAUCCACUAACUUUAAAAUGAAUGUUAAAUCCCGUGGUGUACGUAUACAGUGUAUGUAUACCUCACAUGUCUACCUCACUGGUAUAAAUGCUAGGGACAGAUACAGCAUGCUACUAUACAUUUGUACUGCUCAUUUGUCUGAACAACAUUUAAUUUAGUUUUAUUCAGGUCAUUCAAAUAUGAUAUGGGUGUCUAAACUGGUAGCUGGAUUGUUAUCCUUAUGAACAAUAAUCAAAUUAGCUUUUAUUGGGUUAAAAACUCCCAUUUUUCUGUUUAUUUCUCUUCCCUCAGAGUUAAGUCCACAAACCUGACUGACCUGGAAGACAGAAAUGUCUGGAGAGGUGUAAGCAAGCAGUUUGAAAGGCAGAGAGCAAGAAUCUCUUAAAACAGAGCAGUCACUGAUGGGUGAAGUUUUUAAUUUUUUUGGCAGCUGGUCUGCUUUGAGAGAUUUUUCUUCUCUUGCUAAUUUUUCCGUCAUCCCUGCUGGACAUUUCUGCCCUACUGGUUAAGUCAAAUGCCAAAUCAAAUGUUGGUAUGGCUGUGCUCUAACUGAGGAGUAAUAUUUCCCUUGUGAAGGCACAGCAGAAACAAUUAUUUUUCUGCUUUUGUUUUAAGUGCAAGUACUGAUUGUGUUACAAGACAAAACUUAAGUGUCAAUUAGUCAUGUAGAAAACUUGUAUUGUUUCCCUAGCUUUAAUUGUUUUUUGAAAGAGUUUCCUCCAGAGCUGCUGAGUUUAAAAAACAAAUAGAUAUACUUACCAUAAGUAGGGUUCAGUGGUGGCCUUUUCUAUGUUGCUUUAGGCCCUUGAAUGGGUUUUAUACAUUUUUUUAAUGUUAUGUCCUGAAAAAAAAUCUGUCUUUCCUAAAGAAGUGCACAUUUAUAGUAAAACAUUUUUCUAGCUAGACCUGUGCGCACACACGGUGAGUUAGGGACAAAACGUUAGCACAACUGAAAUAAAAUUUUCAGUUAAUGAAAGUCAAAUCCAAGUGUGAAUUCCAAAUUUGGUUAACAAACAGCUUUAUCUUUGUGGUUUCUGAGUACUUUGUAUUUUCCUAACCACUUAGCUUUCCUACUACGAAAAAUAAAUGUUUAUCAUUAAAUACCAUAGACUCUAUCAAACAGACUUAUUUUUUUAUAAACUUCAGUUUGGGUGACUGGACUGGUAUCAUUUAACUGGAAAGAGUAACCUGUUUCAGCAACGUGGGUUGUGUUGCUGAUAUUUUCCCGUUGCUGCAAAGUGUGAAGACUGGAAAGCUCAAGUAUUUCCCAUAGGGCAGAUACUGUCUGGAUAAAUCAAAAUGAAAUAGCACUUGAAUAUAUUGGGCUAUCCAAGGUGCAGCAUAAAUGAUCCCUGGAAAGGAAGAUAAAAUUAUUAAUGUUUUAAACAUACCUCCUACGAAAAAAAAACUUUUUACUUGAGUGAGGUAGUAGACACUCCAGAAGGGAGAGCUGCUCAGCAGGAGGAUCUGGAUAGGCUGGAAGGGUGGGCCAGCAAGAACCUUAUGAAGUUCAACAAGGAGAAGUGUAAGGUCAUGCACCUGGGAAAACAUAAUCUGGGAGUGCAGCACAGACUGGGAUCCACCUGGCUGGAGAGCAGCUCUGUGGAAGGGGGCAUGGGGGUCCUGGUGGACAGAAAGCACAACAUGAGCGAACAGUGUGCUGCUGCGGCCAAGAAGGCCAACAGGAUGCUGGGUUGCGUCAAAAAGGGCAUCACCGGCAGAGAUAAAGAAGUCAUCAUCCCUCUCGGCUCAGCGCUUGUCAGGCCACACCUGGAGUACUGUGUACAGUUCUGGUCCCUGCUAUAGAAAAAAGGAUGUGGCCAGGCUGGAAGGGGUCCAGAGAAGGGCCACCAAGAUGAUCAAAGGACUGGGAAGCCUGCCAUAUGAGGCUAGGCUGGGAGAACUGGGUUUGUUCAGCCUUGAGAAAAGGAGGCUCAGAGGGAGUCUCAUCACCAUGUACCAGUACUUAGGGGGUAGCUACAAAGAAGAUGGAGACUCCCUUUUUACACAGAGUCACAUGGAGAGGACAAGGGGGAAUGGACACAAGUUGCUCUUGGGGACAUUCCAAUUAGACACCAGAGGAAAAUUUUUCACAGUGAGGAAAGUCAACCAUUGGAAUCAUCUCCCCAGGGAAGUGGUUGACUCGGCCACAUUGGACACUUUCAAGAGUUGGCUGGACAGGGUGCUGGGCCAUCUUGUCUAGACUGUGCUCUUCCUAGAAAGGUUGGACUAGAUGAUCGCUGAGGUCCCUUCCAACCUGUGAUUCUGUGAUACUUUUCCCUAACCUGUCUAAUAAAUUGCUUUAAAUAUGUGA